UCGCUCAAAAUGGCUUGAUUACACCCAAGUAAGCUCAUGAAUACUGUAUUUUUCUGUCUCUUAGCAGUUCCCCACUGCAGCCCUCUACCACUCUCCUGCUAAAGAAGUAAUGGAGGAGACAAGGAACUCUCGCCCGUGAGCUGUGUUCUGAAUCAUGGCAUAGAGAGAGGUCUGUUUUUAACUGUGCAUGUUGUGAGAUGAUGUUUUCUCAAGAAAGCUGUGUUUGCCACUGAGGACACUUCUCUUAACAAGAGAAAGAAGAGGUUCCGGGGACGUGGUUGUUCUUUUAAGCUGAUUCACAGGAACGAUGCAAUGCCUGCUUUUCACUCAAUUAAAGAAAUCAAGGAAUUCACAUGUUGUGUUGUAUUUUUGUUCAGCUUAGAAGAGCGCUAGGAGAUUUCUUUCU
This 406-nucleotide long non-coding RNA is filed under the name Podarcis muralis (Common wall lizard). RNAcentral's name for it is "lncRNA (ENSPMRG00000013419.1)". Lineage: Eukaryota; Metazoa; Chordata; Lepidosauria; Squamata; Lacertidae. The record is from RNAcentral.